GCUCCAAUGGUCUAGUGGUAUGACGCUUGCCUUCCAAGCAAGCUGCCCGUGUUCGAUUCACGGUUGGUGCA
This is a transfer RNA of 71 nucleotides. It matches the Rfam family "tRNA". From Rfam's summary of the family: Transfer RNA (tRNA) molecules are approximately 80 nucleotides in length. The record is from Rfam.